This is a long non-coding RNA of Lytechinus variegatus (green sea urchin), 365 nucleotides long. RefSeq lists it as uncharacterized. The record is from RefSeq and is a predicted model, not a curated record. The transcript is spliced from 3 exons. Lineage: Eukaryota; Metazoa; Echinodermata; Echinoidea; Temnopleuroida; Toxopneustidae.
AUGGAUCAAAUGCAAGGAUCGUCCCAAGCGUUCGGAGAAAAUCUGACGAUACAUCCAGUCAUCAUAUUGUCGAAUGCCAUACAAGUAAUGUCUGUUUAAAGAACCCUUGCAUGAACGGAGGAAGGUGUCAGGAAAAUUACGAAGGAUCGUACUCCUGCCAGUGUGACUUUGGUUACGGCGGAAAAACAUGUGACCACUUUGUGCAGCUCAUCAUCCAAAACAUUGACGAAGAGCAAAUUAUGAUCGGCAAUACAUCAGAUUUGUCAUUUUCAAAUUUACUCUCUCUGAACUUCACAUGCCUGGGUUUUGUUCUCGACAGCUAUACCGACACCUUAUAUAUCGCUGCAAAGCCUGCUGUUAAUACA